Long non-coding RNA from Pantherophis guttatus, 527 nucleotides. RefSeq lists it as uncharacterized. Lineage: Eukaryota; Metazoa; Chordata; Lepidosauria; Squamata; Colubridae. The record is from RefSeq and is a predicted model, not a curated record.
GUGGUGGGUUGUCCCCAGUUCGGACCAGUUCUAUAGAACCGGUAGUAAAGCCGUUGGGAGGCUCCGCCCACCAACCCCGACAUCAUCAGGAAACUUCUGCGCAUGCGUGCGGCCCUAUUGUGAACCGGUAGUAAAGUAACCACGAAGUACCAUCCAUCGAAGAAGGUGGAACCAUUCUAAGAAAAUGUCCUCAAUUCCCAUAGGCAGUCCAGGAGGACACCAUACUCAUGAAUGGGAAGAAGAAACUAAAAAUCAGGAUAUUAGAGCAACCACCUCUCCUUCUGACUUUUUUUCUGAAUGAUUUUAUGGCCUAUAUUGAGUUAAUCUUUGUUAGGGCAGUAAAUAUUCCUACAGGAGGUGUGCCAGACAUGUUUACAGCUAUGGGCGCUUUCCUCCAGCCUGAUAUCUGCUCUGCAUAUAUUUUAUGCUUUCCUAAGGAGCAGCUGGGAUGAAGAAUUUGGAGAAGCAGCCUGAGAUCCUGAGGAAUACAAGGAGAUUCCUGAGGCCAUUAAACAAAAUGUGACACA